GGAUGCGAGGGCAAUGUGGCUGUGACACCUGUCACCCCAUUGAUCGCCAGGGUUGAUUUGGCUCAUCUGUCUGGCUAACCGGGUGUCCCCUUCCUCCUGAAUAUUCCAUGUGCAUCCUUCCUAAACCUGUGCACUCAGUGGAAGAGUACUACCACCCCCGAUAGAGGACCGCUCCUCAGUCAAGGGUAUGGGAGUACCUGCACUCCCCUGCUAGAACCUCCAAACAAGCUCUCAAAUGUUAGGUCACAGAGUGAUACAUGUUGGGGAAAAAAAGAAAGCAAUAGGAAAUAAAAAGUCAAUUUUCUUCUGUUCUUUAUUGGAAAUGCAUCAUAUUUGA
This 337-nucleotide small nuclear RNA is filed under the name Octodon degus (degu). RNAcentral's name for it is "7SK RNA (ENSODEG00000023958.1)". It matches the Rfam family "7SK RNA". From Rfam's summary of the family: 7SK was discovered as an abundant small nuclear RNA in the mid-70s but a possible function has only recently been suggested. Two independent studies have found that 7SK RNA binds the CDK9/cyclin T complex (known as elongation factor P-TEFb). P-TEFb activates transcription by phosphorylating the C-terminal domain of RNA polymerase II. Lineage: Eukaryota; Metazoa; Chordata; Mammalia; Rodentia; Octodontidae. The record is from Rfam by way of RNAcentral.